UCGACCUUACCUUGAAUAUGAUCAUUUUCGCAUGUUUCAAAGGAAAACAACCGCACACGAAAUCUUAUGACUCUCAUAGCCACUGUAAGUCAAAUACUUGUCCCACCAUAAUCAGCCAAUUUAACACGAGAACUAGGAAGCCUACGCGAACGCAAUCCUUCAAAACUUUGCAAUUUCAUCCAGAAUCUUAACCUUAAGUGGUACUAAUCAUAUGUAGUUUGCAUUAUAAUAUAAACUCAUAACGACAUAUAUAUGUAUUCGCUAAGUCCCUCAAGGCAAAGUCGUUUAACACUUAAAAACGCAUUGGCAAACAAUAGUGUGACGUCCUUUAUUCUUGUCCUCUUCCUUUAAAAAACCGUAUGCUUUAUGCUUCUCGUGACAUAAGGCUUGACAUUCUUGUAAUUUCCAUGUCCCUUUUUUGUUAUUAAAAUAAAUACCUUCACAAUAUUUUAUCGGUGCAGACUCUGAUCCUCCUGUAAUAGAUACAUAAAAUUUUAGUAGUUGUGAUUUUAUUUUUAUUUUGUAUAUAGAACAUAAAAUUCAAAUAAACUCUUUUUAUUCGGCAAAAUUGAAAACAUUUUUCAGACCAAAAAGAAAUAGGAAUUUUGAAACAUUUAUCUAAGCAAACCUAGCACAAGAAAGAUGAGAGUAGUUAAAACGGUUAGCGAGAUUUGCAAGAAUUUCCUCAUCUUGAACGAUAUAAAUAACUUUUUUUUGGAGUAUAGACAAAAUAAAA
This 736-nucleotide long non-coding RNA is filed under the name Capsella rubella. RNAcentral's name for it is "long non-coding RNA (CRUB_LNC000958)". Lineage: Eukaryota; Viridiplantae; Streptophyta; Magnoliopsida; Brassicales; Brassicaceae. The record is from RNAcentral.